UACGAAGGGUGCAAGCGUUACUCGGAAUUACUGGGCGUAAAGAGCGCGCAGGCGGUCGUUCAAGUCGAGUGUGAAAGCCCCCGGCUCAACUGGGGAGGGUCACUCGAUACUGAUCGACUCGAAGGCAGGAGAGGGAAGUGGAAUUCCCGGUGUAGUGGUGAAAUGCGUAGAUAUCGGGAGGAACACCAGUGGCGAAGGCGACUUCCUGGCCUGUUCUUGACGCUGAGGCGCGAAAGCUAGGGGAGCAAACGGG
This 253-nucleotide ribosomal RNA is filed under the name uncultured bacterium. RNAcentral describes it as "partial 16S ribosomal RNA". It matches the Rfam family "Bacterial small subunit ribosomal RNA", at positions 524 to 776 of the family's 1533-position model. The record is from RNAcentral.